GCAAGCCUGAUGCAGCCAUGCCGCGUGUGUGAAGAAGGCCUUCGGGUUGUAAAGCACUUUCAGUCGUGAGGAAGGUNGUGNUGUUAAUAGCUGNAUUAUUUGACGUUAGCGACAGAAGAAGCACCGGCUAACUCCGUGCCAGCAGCCGCGGUAAUACGGAGGGUGCGAGCGUUAAUCGGAAUUACUGGGCGUAAAGCGCAUGCAGGUGGUUUGUUAAGUCAGAUGUGAAAGCCCGGGGCUCAACCUCGGAAUAGCAUUUGAAACUGGCAGACUAGAGUACUGUAGAGGGGGGUAGAAUUUCAGGUGUAGCGGUGAAAUGCGUAGAGAUCUGAAGGAAUACCGGUGGCGAAGGCGGCCCCCUGGACAGAUACUGACACUCAGAUGCGAAAGCGUGGGGAGCAAACAGGAUUAGAUACCCUGGUAGUCCACGCCGUAAACGAUGUCUACUUGGAGGUUGUGGCCUUGAGCCGUGGCUUUCGGAGCUAACGCGUUAAGUAGACCGCCUGGGGAGUACGGUCGCAAGAUUAAAACUCAAAUGAAUUGACGGGGGCCCGCACAAGCGGUGGAGCAUGUGGUUUAAUUCGAUGCAACGCGAAGAACCUUACCUACUCUUGACAUCCAGAGAACUUUCCAGAGAUGGAUUGGUGCCUUCGGGAACUCUGAGACAGGUGCUGCAUGGCUGUCGUCAGCUCGUGUUGUGAAAUGUUGGGUUAAGUCCCGCAACGAGCGCAACCCUUAUCCUUGUUUGCCAGCACUUCGGGUGGGAACUCCAGGGAGACUGCCGGUGAUAAACCGGAGGAAGGUGGGGACGACGUCAAGUCAUCAUGGCCCUUA
RNAcentral lists this ribosomal RNA (834 nucleotides) under Vibrio proteolyticus. RNAcentral describes it as "bacterial SSU rRNA". It matches the Rfam family "Bacterial small subunit ribosomal RNA", at positions 377 to 1204 of the family's 1533-position model. The record is from RNAcentral. Lineage: Bacteria; Pseudomonadati; Pseudomonadota; Gammaproteobacteria; Vibrionales; Vibrionaceae.